Long non-coding RNA from Choloepus didactylus (southern two-toed sloth), 1498 nucleotides. RefSeq lists it as uncharacterized. Lineage: Eukaryota; Metazoa; Chordata; Mammalia; Pilosa; Megalonychidae. The record is from RefSeq and is a predicted model, not a curated record. The transcript is spliced from 4 exons.
AUCGUAUAAAUCUUUCGCCUUUUACUAAAGAUUUCCGUGGAGAGAAGCAAGUCUGAGUUUUGUAUCAAUUUUUUGAGGCCUUGUGUUUACAAGGCUAAUAACUGCAUGUUUGAAAAAAAGAUCUGCAAUAGUUUCUUUGUUUUGCGACUCUGGAGACUUACGGUACCUUGUGCCUUCCACAACAAACUCCCGCUGUCAAGUCAACCCCUACAGCCAGGACUGUGAAGGCUGCUCCGGCCACACGGUCUUACUAUGCAAGCAGCACUUCCGGGAGGCAAAGAGCAGCCUUGGGAGAGGAGGACACUGUUGUGCAAGACAGACAUUUCAGGUCUUCUCAUACGCUGCUGGAGGGAGGGUCUUUGAAGAUGUGGUUAGUUGAGACGAAGCCAAACUCGAUGGAGAUGGGCUCUAAUCCUAUACGACUGGUGUCCUUAGAAGGAGAAGAAAUUUGGACACAGGCAGAGAGACAGAGGGAGGAGAGUGACGGCCGUGUGACAGACGCCAAGGGGCCUUGGAGGGCCGGCCACCCACCAGGAGCCGAGGGAGAGGCGGGGAACCGAAUCCCCCCAUCCAGAGGAAGCUCCUGCCCAGCCUUGAUUCCAGCUGUCUAGACUUCAGGACUGUGAGACCGUAAAUUACUGUUGUUUGAGCCAACUAGUCUGUGGGGGAAGGAAAUCCAUUAUUUUACAAGGGGAAAAGAAGCUUGGGUCUCCAUCCUGGCCUUGCCACUUCCUACCUGCAUUUAUAUACCAGGAACCAGUUUUGUUAUCACUCAGACCUUUUCUGUCACCCGGGAAAUGGGGGGUUACGAUGGUGCCCGUCCCCUGGGGCUGUUGAGGACUGACUGAGAGGACCCCCGAGAAGCCCAGAGCUGCAGAAUGUGGGUUCCCUGUCCCUUCAGCCAGCGAGGAAGCGUAGAGAACUCCCCUGUCCAUGGUGGAGGCAUUGGCAGAAGUCCCUCUGAGGCUUCCCGCUGGGGCUUCCUGUGAUAUUAAGUCUCAUUUCGGGGGAGAUGCUGAUUUGGGGUUCUGCUCCCCCUUUGCUCCCCUCCACCAUCCUCAACCUGUUUCCCAGCCAGCUCCAGGAUAGAUGCACCCAGCCUGAUUUUCCAGCCGCAGUAAGCAGCCUGGAAACAUGGCUUUUUACAUCUCCUUUGUUGGUUUCCAGCAAAUUAAAAUUUAUCUCUCAGGGAGGAAACGAGGGGUCAGGUUUUUUCUUUUUUCGUCUUCUUAAUGGGCCCUGAUGAAGGAAAUGAAUGCAGGGAAGGGAUCGAAAUACGAUCCACCUCUCACCAGCACAGAAGGGGGUUGGGGGGAGGCUCCCUGCACCCUCAAAGGGGGCAGCUGGGCAUGGUAUGUUUUAUUAUAUAAUUAACCUUGACCCUUCUGGGUUCAAAGAGAGAGGUUAGUUGGAAAUAAAUCAAGAGUCUGGUCUGGUCACUUCAAAGGCCUCAGAACCCGCUGGAAAAUUCCAUGUUGGUUCAGUGUGUAAAUUGGAA